UAAGGAAUAUUGGACAAUGGACGCAAGUCUGAUCCAGCCAUGCCGCGUGAAGGAUGACUGCCCUCUGGGUUGUAAACUUCUUUUAUAGGGGGAAGAAAGUUAUUUUUUCUUAGGAUAUUUGACGGUACCCUAUGAAUAAGCACCGGCUAACUCCGUGCCAGCAGCCGCGGUAAUACGGAGGGUGCAAGCGUUAUCCGGAUUCACUGGGUUUAAAGGGUGCGUAGGCGGGUAUGUAAGUCAGUGGUGAAAUACCGGAGCUUAACUUCGGAACUGCCAUUGAUACUAUAUAUCUUGAAUAUUGUGGAGGUAAGCGGAAUAUGUCAUGUAGCGGUGAAAAUGCUUAGAGAUGACAUAGAACACCGAUUGCGAAGGCAGCUUGCUACGCAAAUAUUGACGCUGAGGCACGAAAGCGUGGGGAUCAAACAGGAUUAGAUACCCUGGUAGUCCACGCCCUAAACGAUGAUUACUCGACAUUAGCGAUACACAGUUAGUGUCUGAGCGAAAGCAUUAAGUAAUCCACCUGGGAAGUACGACCGCAAGGUUGAAAACUUAAAGGAAUUGACGGGGUCAUAGCUGUUUCCU
RNAcentral lists this ribosomal RNA (582 nucleotides) under uncultured bacterium. RNAcentral's name for it is "partial 16S ribosomal RNA". It matches the Rfam family "Bacterial small subunit ribosomal RNA", at positions 355 to 1375 of the family's 1533-position model. The record is from RNAcentral.